UACGUAGGGUGCAAGCGUUGUCCGGAAUUAUUGGGCGUAAAGAGCUCGUAGGUGGUUUGUCGCGUUGUUCGUGAAAACUCACAGCUCAACUGUGGGCGUGCGGGCGAUACGGGCAGACUAGAGUACUGCAGGGGAGGCUGGAAUUCCUGGUGUAGCGGUGGAAUGCGCAGAUAUCAGGAGGAACACCGGUGGCGAAGGCGGGUCUCUGGGCAGUAACUGACGCUGAGGAGCGAAAGCGUGGGGAGCGAACAGG
This 253-nucleotide ribosomal RNA is filed under the name uncultured bacterium. RNAcentral describes it as "partial 16S ribosomal RNA". It matches the Rfam family "Bacterial small subunit ribosomal RNA", at positions 524 to 776 of the family's 1533-position model. The record is from RNAcentral.